GCGGGUAUCGUAUAUUGGCUAUUACCACAGAUUUCCAAUCUGUUGAGGUGGGUUCGAUUCCCACUACCCGCU
This 72-nucleotide transfer RNA is filed under the name Patescibacteria group bacterium. Its description in RNAcentral is "tRNA-Gly". It matches the Rfam family "tRNA". Rfam says of the family: Transfer RNA (tRNA) molecules are approximately 80 nucleotides in length. Their secondary structure includes four short double-helical elements and three loops (D, anti-codon, and T loops). Further hydrogen bonds mediate the characteristic L-shaped molecular structure. tRNAs have two regions of fundamental functional importance: the anti-codon, which is responsible for specific mRNA codon recognition, and the 3' end, to which the tRNAs corresponding amino acid is attached (by aminoacyl-tRNA synthetases). tRNAs cope with the degeneracy of the genetic code in two manners: having more than one tRNA (with a specific anti-codon) for a particular amino acid; and 'wobble' base-pairing, i.e. permitting non-standard base-pairing at the 3rd anti-codon position. The record is from RNAcentral.